Long non-coding RNA from Oncorhynchus mykiss (rainbow trout), 2559 nucleotides. RefSeq lists it as uncharacterized. Lineage: Eukaryota; Metazoa; Chordata; Actinopteri; Salmoniformes; Salmonidae. The record is from RefSeq and is a predicted model, not a curated record.
ACACACGAAGGACUACUUACUCGUGAGUGAUGAUGUGCAAUCUGAAACCUGUUGAAAUGGAGUACCAUCUCAUCACAAACUAGAAACUCCAGGAUUCGUUUUAUUCCAUGUUGAUCAACACACAGAACGCUUGCUAGCCCUAUCCAGAGAAGCAGGGAAAGACUGGAAGAAAUGGACAGAAGAUAGCUGCCAUUCUGAAUAUGUACAGCCAGGAGGGAACAUCCCAAUACCCUGCAGCCAUCGAGAACAGCAGCCAUCAUCUGUCAUUGAUGACGAUGGAGAUGUAGCUGCUGUGCCAUUCCAUCCAGGAAGAGUCUACGUGGUCCUUGAGGAGAACGUGGUUACGAAGGAUUUCCGGUGCUGGCCUAAUGCACUUGUAUGUUUGUACGGGCUAAUGUACUCACUCCAACAUGGAUACCCGAAUUGCACGAAGAACACGUUUGGGUUUAUACAAAAGGUGUUGUUAAACUUGGAUGGAGACAGAAUCAACUGUAAAAUACCAAUACCAAAAACAUUUAUGGCGCUAAACAAUUGUAAAUAGUUACGUUAUCCUAUAAGGAAAAGAGAUUUAGGGAUAAAAAUAAAAAAACAACUGAAGAAGACGAAAUGUUUUGUAGGCAAAUGCCAACUAAAAUGUCUGCCUGCAUUUGAUUUGAUCUGUGCCUUUAGUCAAACCGGUCACAGAGAUACAGAGAUACAAGAGUAACUUGACUUCAGUUGGUGUAGAGUUUAAUUGAAAGUGUUUCUGUUUGGGAAUCCUGAACAUGGUCGUUGGGAAGUUACCUUACAAAUCCUUGUAUAUAUGACGCUUUAGAAGCAAUGGACACAAAUCUCACAUUGCUGACGUCAUCAUAUGAAAAAUGGCCGAGGUCCCAGAGGAUAAAAAUGGAUGGGGAAUCUUCAUGGAGUUGAAAGGAGAGGUCGUUUGCAUACCUGUGUAGUGUUGUGGACCGGUACAUAUAAGAAGGUUGGGGAAACAACGUUCGCACACACUGUCUACUUGCAUUUAGGACGUUUAUUUGUCAGUUUAAUGAUUUGGCGUGACACCUUAGUCAGGAAUGAAGGUUCAGAACCGAAACAUUGCGUGUAUAAGGACAUUUUACAAUCUGCAAGUAUUACUUUGUUUUGUAAACAUAAUGGAUUGAAAAUUGUCGUGGAGGAAGAUAUGUAAAUUGUCAAGAUUAAUCUUCAUUUUAAACAGUUGAAUGUAGUGAAGUUGUUAGAAUGUGAAAUGGAUGUCGCACAUCACUACCUCAUUUUAUUUUAAAUUUUAAAUUGAAUGGAAGCUACCACAUCAGUUGAAAGUGUUAAUUGGAGAAGGGUCAUUAUACUGUGCUUAUGUUUUAAUAGUUAAGUUGUUGAUGGGGAAUGUUGCAGUGUUACACAGUAUUGAAUUGAUUGAAAGUUGGAGGUUUGUUAUCGGAGUUUUUUAAAGUUCUGUUCAAAUGAGUCAUGCUGUACAGAAAUGGCAUUCAUCUAUUGAUGGAUGCUAAAAUAGAUGAAUCAUGUUUGGUGCAUUCGUGUAAUUAGAGAUGUGUUUCUGAAAGACGCAGUGUUUUAAAGAAAAUGUAUUUUUAUUUUUUAAGAAAAAACUGUUGUAAAGCUAACUUGCUUUAGACUAGUUGACUGAAAGAAAGAACUUGGAUUUUAAGAGUAGUUUUUGACUUAAUGUUGAUGUGCAGCUGGUUUCCACAAAUUAUUUGAGUUACUUAACAAAAAAUAUCAAGUUACACACACUAACAAAUAUUGUGCCCUGUUUACUUAAAAAAAAUUUAGGUAGCUAUUUGCAUCAGCCUUUUAAGUAUAAUAUACACUUCACUUUUAGUGCAUUACAAACUCAAAUAUAUUAAGUGCAAACAACUAACAGGAUCUCAACAAUUCCUUUCAUUCAACUUAAUUUUAUCAGGUUCAGAAUGUUUUUUGUUUGUUUGACCUGCUCAAGUCCUUCAAGUCCUAGAACUAAUGUUAAGUUUGAUAUACUUAAUGUAAUCAGUUACAGAACCAAUAUUGUACGUUUAAUUUGCUGCAUUUAUUCAGUAUCAUAAUUGAUAUUCUAUGUUUAAUCUACAAAUGUUUGCUCAGUUACUUAUGGUACUCAGGUUAGUCAAAUGCAUUUAAAUUGGGUUCCUACUACUCAAAUAUACUCACAACUAUACUUAAAAAGCUGAUGCAAAUAGUUACCUCAAUAUACUCAACAUACUUGGGAUAAUUUACUAAAAAUUGUUAUUUAUAUACAAGGGAAUAUGCACAAAAAAACAACAGUGUUCAACUUCAAACUUCACCUUUGUUUUGAAUGAAUGUUUUCUUCAAACUUCAAUCUUAAAUUGCCCCUUAAACCCUACUCCUUUAGCAUUAUUUUGUAAUCUGUAAGAAUUCUGGGAAAACGCCACCUUGCCUCAUUAGGUAAAGUUACAUCCAGAUAGCCUGCACCUGACUACAAAUCAUUUCAGAUCUUCACAAUUGCAUUACGUUUAGGUGAUAGAUUGGGAUUAGCACUUUGACCUCACAUCUUGUACAGUUUGGAAAGAAUUCUCUGGUGGUCUGUGUGCCCCUUAACAA